This 1390-nucleotide ribosomal RNA is filed under the name Mammaliicoccus sciuri. RNAcentral describes it as "Staphylococcus sciuri 16S ribosomal RNA". It matches the Rfam family "Bacterial small subunit ribosomal RNA", at positions 60 to 1431 of the family's 1533-position model. The record is from RNAcentral. Lineage: Bacteria; Bacillati; Bacillota; Bacilli; Caryophanales; Staphylococcaceae.
AGUCGAGCGAAGUACGAGUAGCUUGCUUCUCUGAUGUUAGCGGCGGACGGGUGAGUAACACGUGGGUAACCUACCUAUAAGACUGGGAUAACUCCGGGAAACCGGGGCUAAUACCGGAUAAUAUUUUGAACCGCAUGGUUCAAUAGUGAAAGACGGUUUCGGCUGUCACUUAUAGAUGGACCCGCGCCGUAUUAGCUAGUUGGUAAGGUAACGGCUUACCAAGGCGACGAUACGUAGCCGACCUGAGAGGGUGAUCGGCCACACUGGAACUGAGACACGGUCCAGACUCCUACGGGAGGCAGCAGUAGGGAAUCUUCCGCAAUGGGCGAAAGCCUGACGGAGCAACGCCGCGUGAGUGAUGAAGGUCUUCGGAUCGUAAAACUCUGUUGUUAGGGAAGAACAAAUUUGUUAGUAACUGAACAAGUCUUGACGGUACCUAACCAGAAAGCCACGGCUAACUACGUGCCAGCAGCCGCGGUAAUACGUAGGUGGCAAGCGUUAUCCGGAAUUAUUGGGCGUAAAGCGCGCGUAGGCGGUUUCUUAAGUCUGAUGUGAAAGCCCACGGCUCAACCGUGGAGGGUCAUUGGAAACUGGGAAACUUGAGUGCAGAAGAGGAGAGUGGAAUUCCAUGUGUAGCGGUGAAAUGCGCAGAGAUAUGGAGGAACACCAGUGGCGAAGGCGGCUCUCUGGUCUGUAACUGACGCUGAUGUGCGAAAGCGUGGGGAUCAAACAGGAUUAGAUACCCUGGUAGUCCACGCCGUAAACGAUGAGUGCUAAGUGUUAGGGGGUUUCCGCCCCUUAGUGCUGCAGCUAACGCAUUAAGCACUCCGCCUGGGGAGUACGACCGCAAGGUUGAAACUCAAAGGAAUUGACGGGGACCCGCACAAGCGGUGGAGCAUGUGGUUUAAUUCGAAGCAACGCGAAGAACCUUACCAAAUCUUGACAUCCUUUGACCGCUCUAGAGAUAGAGUCUUCCCCUUCGGGGGACAAAGUGACAGGUGGUGCAUGGUUGUCGUCAGCUCGUGUCGUGAGAUGUUGGGUUAAGUCCCGCAACGAGCGCAACCCUUAAGCUUAGUUGCCAUCAUUAAGUUGGGCACUCUAGGUUGACUGCCGGUGACAAACCGGAGGAAGGUGGGGAUGACGUCAAAUCAUCAUGCCCCUUAUGAUUUGGGCUACACACGUGCUACAAUGGAUAAUACAAAGGGCAGCGAAUCCGCGAGGCCAAGCAAAUCCCAUAAAAUUAUUCUCAGUUCGGAUUGUAGUCUGCAACUCGACUACAUGAAGCUGGAAUAGCUAGUAAUCGUAGAUCAGCAUGCUACGGUGAAUACGUUCCCGGGUCUUGUACACACCGCCCGUCACACCACGAGAGUUUGUAACACCCGAAGCCGGU